GGCUGUGUGGCUCAAGCAAUAGAGCAGCUGCCUAACAAGUAUGAGGCCCUGAGUUCAAAUCCCAGUACCACCA
RNAcentral lists this transfer RNA (73 nucleotides) under Dipodomys ordii (Ord's kangaroo rat). It matches the Rfam family "tRNA". Rfam says of the family: Transfer RNA (tRNA) molecules are approximately 80 nucleotides in length. Their secondary structure includes four short double-helical elements and three loops (D, anti-codon, and T loops). Lineage: Eukaryota; Metazoa; Chordata; Mammalia; Rodentia; Heteromyidae. The record is from Rfam by way of RNAcentral.